Molecule: long non-coding RNA, 546 nt
Organism: Pogoniulus pusillus (Red-fronted tinkerbird)
Lineage: Eukaryota; Metazoa; Chordata; Aves; Piciformes; Lybiidae
Exons: 3
Source: RefSeq, a predicted model, not a curated record
UUUUUCCUUUUUCUUUCUUUUUUCUUUUCAGUGAAAUGCAAGAUUGUUGUGAUAGUGGCAAAGGCACAAUGGGAAUUUGGAGAACUUCAGAGAGCUGAGCCAUCGCUGAGAGUUAUCUAGGCUCACAAAUAUAACAGCAGUUUCUGGCAUCAUUGCAAAUCCUGCUUCAGCAGCAAAAGUGUCUUAGAAGACUUCCCCCCCAGCUUUCUAAAAUGGGAUAAAGGGCGCAGACAUGGACAUGCUCAAGUGAACUACCUGCACCUCAGACUUCCCUGUUCCUUGAACUGUGCCAGUCUGGAGGCGACACAUGGACUAGUACACAUACAGCCUGAGACUGGAAACCUGAGCAAAGAGCAAACCAGCUUGACAUCAUGGGUACUCAUCAGCUUGGCCAUGAACUCAAGCACAGAGGGAGGGAAGUUCUAACCUGCAGCAGGGCAGCACCAAGAGGCACACGGAGGCUCUUAGAACAUGAGGCUGAUUCUCGCUCUGCAGCCUGCACAAACAGAAUUUACUCCUGAGCAAGCAGACAAAAGAAGGUCACGG